UGUUUAUUAAUUUAAAAAAAAUAUUAAAUUGCAAAUUUAAAAUUUCUUAAGAGAAUAAGCUU
Molecule: transfer RNA, 62 nt
Filed under: Platencyrtus parkeri
Lineage: Eukaryota; Metazoa; Arthropoda; Insecta; Hymenoptera; Encyrtidae
Description: tRNA-Cys
Source: RNAcentral